Long non-coding RNA from Lepidothrix coronata (blue-crowned manakin), 1095 nucleotides. RefSeq lists it as uncharacterized. The transcript has 6 exons. NCBI's taxonomy places the organism in Eukaryota, Metazoa, Chordata, Aves, Passeriformes, Pipridae. The record is from RefSeq and is a predicted model, not a curated record.
ACGGGCGCUACGGCGGGUGAGGGGGGUCAGGCGGCGCAGAGCGCGCGAAGGCGGGAACAUCGCAACCCUCGACAACCCUUGAAUUCUGAGUUAUAGAUCCCAGAGCACAGUCUGGAAAUGGGAGUGUGGCAACAGCAUCCAGAGAUGCCAAAUCCAAGAUCAGGCUCCUGUCCAGCAGCUGAAGAGGCUCCUCCUUCAGACCAUUCCUCAGUUUCCUCCUCGGUUUUUCCACACCCACCAAAGUGAGAAGUGAAUGUUCCAUCACUGUCAUGGACUCACAACUUGUGGCCACACCACUGUAACAGGAACAGGAUAAGGGGUUUGUACUUAUCUGGCCAAGCUUUUCCAUUCGGAAGCAAGAGGAACCAGCUGGAAAUUCAAACAACAGACCCAAAGCAAACCACAAAUGAGUCCAGCCCAAUGGAAGCACCUGCAGUGAUUUAACAUAACAAUCUUGAGCCUGCCAAGAAUUUUUAAAGUCCAUCCUUUACAGGGACAAUGCUGAUGAGAAAUUGUAGCUGUGACUGUUCCAGGAAAGCUCCCCAGCAGUGCUCCAGCCACACCACCAUGGCCAGAUGCUGCUGGAUGUCCUGAGCUGCAAUAACCCGAGUAUGGCUCACUGUUCUUCAGGAAACUCGUUUGGAUGAGCUUGGUGAUCAAGGUGGGUGUCAUCUUUGACUGGGAGGAGGGAUUUUACAGGAGGAGUAAGAAGAUGGGCUGAUGACAUCAAACAAACCACCCAGCUGGUCCCAUCUGACGUUCUUGGUGGGGUACCUGUGUCCCUCAGCCUAUUUUAGGGCAGCACCAGCCCUCUUUCCUCUUUCUCCUGGUUUCCUGAGGGCUCUGUGCUGCUCUGCUCCCUGAUGUCCCAGCACUCUGUGUUUCCUGGGAGUGGAAGAUGGACUCAAGCACGAGAGGUAGGUGCAAGUAGGGCAGAGGACUGAACAAUUAUCAGAGGAGAUUUUUAUUUUCUAGGAGAAUUAUUUGGGUAUGAUAGUAAUUAAAAUGUUUGUGUAUAUGCAGCCUGUAUGUCAUGCUCAUACUUUUCUCUUUUGAGGGAUAAACUUCUAAGCCAUUUGAAUUAUGUUUUUUUUA